AGCUCACUGGACAAUCUUGGGCCAGCCAUUCUCUCUCAGCCUUGUCUACCUCACAGGGCUCUUGUGAGGAGGGAAUAAGAGACUGAUGAUGCGCUCAGAGCUCCUGGAAGGAAGGGUGAAGCAAAGAUGUAACAGAAUAUCCUAUAAUAAGCAAGGUAAGUGAGCUGUAGUCUGGCUGCCACUUACUAAUGCUCAUUGUUGCACUCCAUGUGCAAAAAUAUGCGAAAGAUAAGAGUUCAUGACCCCAGCGUGCUCUGAUGAAUCAUGGGGUUGGAGAAAGUAAAAGUUCUGCUGCUCAGGAUUUUCAUGAGGGUGGCUGUUAUGAGUUGCAAAUACAGCCUAAACAAUUAUAGAGUGUGUCAUCGCCGUUUUCUUAUCCUGGGGCAAGGUGCGUCAAGCUCUGCUAAGUUUGUUCCUCCUUGCACUAAUGCAUUUCUGUGUUAUCCUUUGGGGUGCAUACAUUCAAAGAGCAGUGCAUAGAUCACAGUACAAGGUGCGAGAAGAGCAGGGCAGGGAAUAAUCAAGCAGCAAACCAUUGCAGUGUGGUGAUGUAGACUUUUUUUUUGCUGUGUCAGCUCUAGGCACCAAGGAUCAGGUCCCUCAGGAGAUGCAUUGAAGUCUUCAGAUCCAAAACAUCCAGGCCUCUUUCCUCUGCCUGCUGAUGUGGGACAUUACUGCAGCCAAGCCACCAAUUCAUGUUUUGCUAUAUAGGUAUAUAAAGCAGCUAAAGCUCACAGAGCUCUCCUGUAAAAUUUGCUAGAGAGAACUAUAUGAGAUAGUUAUUUGACUACUACAUUGGCUAGAAGCUGUAACAGCUUCUUUCCUGGGCAUCUGUCUCUUUCUUCAUCAUACUUCUAAGCUGACCACACAUGCAUGUCUGAGCUCUGCAGCUCAGAGAGCAUUUUUGAACUUACAUUUUGUACAUUUGUAACUUACAUAGCGGUUAUCAACCUGCCUUUAUUUUGCUAUUGUAAUUGUUCCCUCAAGGCCUAAAUUAUGUAAGUAAAUACUAGUUUUAGUUCUUCACAAAACUGUGUGAUUAUUAUUUUUAAGGGGGUGAGGGGAAAGACCAAGGAAAAUUCAGUCUGCCUUAAAGCAUCCUGGAUUAUUGUGCUAGAAGCUUAAAUCAACAUUGUCUUAGCUUCCAAGUUGAAGUUGCAAAGGAUGGUCCUAUGCUGAUCUCACUAAUGUGAGCAAGGAAGGAUAAUAACUAAGCAAUAUAUCUUCUCCUACAGCGGCCACGGGUAGUUUCAUGCCCACUUGGGCACAGCUUGGUUCUCCCACCACUGUUCUAGACUGCCAUGUUAGCUAGCAGGCAAGAACUCUUCUCUGUCAGUAGAUCUGCUUGGCACAACAGGUUCCUUGGCUUGUAAGCAGAUGAGGUCAGGGUUCAUAUUCCUUGGAAUAGAUGUCCUCAGAGAUGUCCCAUUUCCCCAAAGAUGGAGUCCUAAUUAGGGACUUUCCUGGACUGGCUGUUCUGGCAUAUAUUCCAGAAGAGAAAGAGAGAGCUGAUGAGGAUGCAGUGAGCAGCAUACUGGAGUGUCAGCCUCUACUCCCUGGGCUUUUCCAAUGGUGGCUAGGGGAGAUCUGUUACAUGCACUGUGCACAGAGCUUACCUGAGUCUAUGUCCUUUCUGUCUUACAGCUCUUAAGAUGUCCAGCCAUCAAAUCAGAACGUAAACUUAAUUGAAAGGCUUGAAACCAAAUAGGUGACUCAAGUUUCACACUGGGAGAGCAGAGUGCAGCAUUUCAGCAAGAAGAGUGGUAGAAGAUAAAGAGAAAAGCCUACUCUUUAUGCUGCUUUCCCAUGACAGUGUUGGUAUAGUGAAGCAUCAGGGAAAUAUUGUAUCUAUUCACCACAUUUAAAUCCUACCUUUCUUCCAAGGAGCUCAAGGCAGAAUGCAUAGUCUGCCUCUGCUUUUUAUCCUUGCCAUCUGUGUAGUAGGCUAAGAUCAGAUAUACCGUAUGUAAUAACUCGCCCAAGGUCACCCAGUGAAUUUUAUAACUGAGGGGGCAUUUGGCUCUGAGUCUCCCCAGUCCUAGCCUGAUCCUCCAAUUCAUUCAUUGAAUUCAUUUAUUUGAUUUCCUAAAGAUUUCCAUGGCAGUGCCACACUGCUAUGCCACACUGACUGCGCCACAUCACACCAUGCCGGCUCUCACAUUGCAGCAGGUCUGGCAAGUUUCUAUCAAGAACUCCAGUAUCUUCAGGCUGACUCGUGUGUAGGGAUGGGGGGAAUUCAUCUGACUUGGCACACCUACUGAACUUCUACUUUCUGAAACAAUUUGUGAACUGACAAACAGCCACCCUUCAAAAUUCACACAAGCACCCCUCCGCACCAUCCCAACACAUAUCCCUGCAACUAUACAACCUCCCCCCUGCAAACACACCCUGUAUUCUCCUGUACACAGAAUGCAACCACACCACAUGCUCUUGCAGCCACAAAUGUCAUGGAACUACAUAUGCAAAACGUUUUAGGUGCUUCAUAAAGCAAAACUCCAGGCUCUCCAUAUGGAUCUGGGUCUGAAAGACCAAGGGAAAAUGUGGGUACAUGGAGGGUAGGUUAUUAGCAAGCACAGUUUGUGACAUUCCACAACAUCAUUGCUGAUCAUCUGGUACAUCUGUUUAAGCUUCCAAUUUUCCAGCUCUUGGGAGCCUGAGCGAACAUGAAAUAGCCUUAACUCUGAUCUUAAACUGGCAGGGUUUUUGAAAUCACUGGUUUUUAUUUAUUAACUUCAUCCAAACACAUCAGCAAAACUCCACUGAAUUCUUUCUGGUCUUACAAGGAAGUAUUUAGGACUGCCGCCUUAUAGUCAGUAAAUAUUUCCUACUCAUUAAAGCAGGGAAAGAAAGAGGAUCUCAGAUUUCCUUAACAUCUGAGAGCAACAUGUGGCAUUUGAAUGCUGGGUAGCUUGAGG
This is a non-coding RNA of Podarcis lilfordi (Lilford's wall lizard), 2915 nucleotides long. NCBI's taxonomy places the organism in Eukaryota, Metazoa, Chordata, Lepidosauria, Squamata, Lacertidae. The record is from the annotation of a GenBank genome assembly.